RNAcentral lists this ribosomal RNA (526 nucleotides) under uncultured bacterium. RNAcentral's name for it is "bacterial SSU rRNA". It matches the Rfam family "Bacterial small subunit ribosomal RNA", at positions 1 to 526 of the family's 1533-position model. The record is from RNAcentral.
AUUGAGUUUGAUCCUGGCUCAGAUUGAACGCUGGCGGCAUGCCUUACACAUGCAAGUCGAACGGCAGCACGGGAGCAAUCCUGGUGGCGAGUGGCGAACGGGUGAGUAAAGUAUCGGAACGUGCCCAGUCGUGGGGGAUAACGUAGCGAAAGUUACGCUAAUACCGCAUACGAUCUAUGGAUGAAAGCGGGGGAUCGCAAGACCUCGCGCGAUUGGAGCGGCCGAUAUCAGAUUAGGUAGUUGGUGGGGUAAAGGCUCACCAAGCCGACGAUCUGUAGCUGGUCUGAGAGGACGACCAGCCACACUGGGACUGAGACACGGCCCAGACUCCUACGGGAGGCAGCAGUGGGGAAUUUUGGACAAUGGGCGCAAGCCUGAUCCAGCCAUGCCGCGUGCAGGAUGAAGGCCUUCGGGUUGUAAACUGCUUUUGUACGGAACGAAAAGGUUUGGCCUAAUAAGCUGAGCUCAUGACGGUACCGUAAGAAUAAGCACCGGCUAACUACGUGCCAGCAGCCGCGGUAAUAAU